Molecule: ribosomal RNA, 497 nt
Filed under: uncultured bacterium
Lineage: Bacteria
Description: partial 16S ribosomal RNA
Rfam family: Bacterial small subunit ribosomal RNA
Source: RNAcentral
GAUGAACGCUGGCGGCGUGCCUAAUACAUGCAAGUAGAACGCUGAAGCUUGGUGCUUGCACCGAGCGGAUGAGUUGCGAACGGGUGAGUAACGCGUAGGUAACCUGCCUCUUAGCGGGGGAUAACUAUUGGAAACGAUAGCUAAUACCGCAUAAAAGUCGAUAUCGCAUGAUAUUGAUUUGAAAGGCGCAAAUGCAUCACUAAGAGAUGGACCUGCGUUGUAUUAGCUAGUUGGUGAGGUAACGGCUCACCAAGGCGACGAUACAUAGCCGACCUGAGAGGGUGAUCGGCCACACUGGGACUGAGACACGGCCCAGACUCCUACGGGAGGCAGCAGUAGGGAAUCUUCGGCAAUAGGGGCAACCCUGACCGAGCAACGCCGCGUGAGUGAAGAAGGGUUUCGGAUCGUAAAGCUCUGUUGUAAGAGAAGAACGAGUGUGAGAGUGGAAAGUUCACACUGUGACGGUAACUUACCAGAAAGGGACGGCUAACUACGUG